GGGGAUUUAGCUCAGCGGUAGAGCGCUUGCCUAGGAAGCGCAAGGCCCUGGGUUCGGUCCCCAGCUCCG
Rattus norvegicus (Norway rat) is the source of this 69-nucleotide non-coding RNA. The record is from Rfam. NCBI's taxonomy places the organism in Eukaryota, Metazoa, Chordata, Mammalia, Rodentia, Muridae.